Molecule: ribosomal RNA, 514 nt
Filed under: uncultured bacterium
Lineage: Bacteria
Description: partial 16S ribosomal RNA
Rfam family: Bacterial small subunit ribosomal RNA
Source: RNAcentral
GAUGAACGCUGGCGGCGUGCCUAAUACAUGCAAGUCGAGCGAACUGAUUAGAAGCUUGCUUCUAUGACGUUAGCGGCGGACGGGUGAGUAACACGUGGGCAACCUGCCUGUAAGACUGGGAUAACUUCGGGAAACCGAAGCUAAUACCGGAAAGGAUCUUCUCCUUCAUGGGAGAUGAUUGAAAGAUGGUUUCGGCUAUCACUUACAGAUGGGCCCGCGGUGCAUUAGCUAGUUGGUGAGGUAACGGCUCACCAAGGCAACGAUGCAUAGCCGACCUGAGAGGGUGAUCGGCCACACUGGGACUGAGACACGGCCCAGACUCCUACGGGAGGCAGCAGUGGGGAAUCUUCCGCAAUGGACGAAAGUCUGACGGAGCAACGCCGCGUGAGUGAUGAAGGCUUUCGGGUCGUAAAACUCUGUUGUUAGGGAAGAACAAGUACGAGAGUAACUGCUCGUACCUUGACGGUACCUAACCAGAAAGCCACGGCUAACUACGUGCCAGCCGCCGCAGUAA